This 241-nucleotide long non-coding RNA is filed under the name Elaeis guineensis (African oil palm). RNAcentral describes it as "long non-coding RNA (EGUI_LNC017341)". Lineage: Eukaryota; Viridiplantae; Streptophyta; Magnoliopsida; Arecales; Arecaceae. The record is from RNAcentral.
UACACAUCAUGACGUAUAUGAUAGAUCUCACUGUCGAAACAUAUGAUAUUCUACUCAUACGCUCGCUCUCUUGAGGGAUUGUCGGAUAAUCCUUCUUGGAGAGAGUGUUAGAUGUAUAUCCUAGAAGUCAAUAUAGUUGACACAUUGUGAUAUAGCUAGGAUGUAAUUUUAUACUUAAUAUAUAGAUUUGAUUAAUAAAAAGGUAAGUUUUAAUUUUUAUUCAAGUGUGAUGUGACCUUGA